UACGUAGGGGGCUAGCGUUGUCCGGAAUCAUUGGGCGUAAAGAGCGUGUAGGCGGCUUGGUAAGUCCGCUGUGAAAGUCCAGGGCUCAACCCUGGAAUGCCAGUGGAUACUGUCAAGCUAGAGUCCGGAAGAGGCGAGUGGAAUUCCUGGUGUAGCGGUGAAAUGCGCAGAUAUCAGGAGGAACACCAAUGGCGAAGGCAGCUCGCUGGGACGGUACUGACGCUGAGGCACGAAAGCGUGGGGAGCAAACAGG
Molecule: ribosomal RNA, 253 nt
Filed under: uncultured bacterium
Lineage: Bacteria
Description: partial 16S ribosomal RNA
Rfam family: Bacterial small subunit ribosomal RNA
Source: RNAcentral